RNAcentral lists this ribosomal RNA (497 nucleotides) under uncultured bacterium. RNAcentral describes it as "partial 16S ribosomal RNA". It matches the Rfam family "Bacterial small subunit ribosomal RNA", at positions 28 to 507 of the family's 1533-position model. The record is from RNAcentral.
GACGAACGCUGGCGGCGUGCCUAAUACAUGCAAGUUGAGCGCUGAAGGUUGGUACUUGUACCGACUGGAUGAGCAGCGAACGGGUGAGUAACGCGUGGGGAAUCUGCCUUUGAGCGGGGGACAACAUUUGGAAACGAAUGCUAAUACCGCAUAAAAACUUUAAACACAAGUUUUAAGUUUGAAAGAUGCAAUUGCAUCACUCAAAGAUGAUCCCGCGUUGUAUUAGCUAGUUGGUGAGGUAAAGGCUCACCAAGGCGAUGAUACAUAGCCGACCUGAGAGGGUGAUCGGCCACAUUGGGACUUGGACACGGCCCAAACUCCUACGGGAGGCAGCAGUAGGGAAUCUUCGGCAAUGGACGAAAGUCUGACCGAGCAACGCCGCGUGAGUGAAGAAGGUUUUCGGAUCGUAAAACUCUGUUGGUAGAGAAGAACGUUGGUGAGAGUGGAAAGCUCAUCAAGUGACGGUAACUACCCAGAAAGGGACGGCUAACUACGUG